This 976-nucleotide long non-coding RNA is filed under the name Brachypodium distachyon (stiff brome). RNAcentral describes it as "long non-coding RNA (BDIS_LNC000636)". Lineage: Eukaryota; Viridiplantae; Streptophyta; Magnoliopsida; Poales; Poaceae. The record is from RNAcentral.
UAUUACUUCUUUUUGAAAAAAAAAUACUGCUAUUACUAAUUACUUAUUCUUACAAGAAAAGAAAAAUUGGCCAUAGUACACCGUUAUUUUCUGACCUGCACCGAAACACACCACCGGAUUGCGCCAUUGCCCGAUAUCAUUACAAUUCCGUGCUCAUUUGUCAUAACACACGACCUGGCCUAAGACGGAAAAUUUCACUUUUUCCAUAAUACCCCAGAAUUUCCUCUAAUCCCUUUUUUUUCUUCCCCUCUUGUCCUUUCUCCUCCCACAGAGUGUAGCAACGGCCACGAAACCUAGCGAGCUGUUAUGUUAUAUCUUCUAUGAGUUAAACAUGUGUUCAAUUUGAAGUAUAUGCCUGAAUUUUAAGCCUAUGAUUCUCUGGAAUGAUAUAGUAAUUUGACUUGAUGCUAAAUGCUGACCAAUUUUGUAAUCAAAUAAUGCGAAAAGUUGACACUUACUAGGGCCGAAAUUUCACAUAGAGAAAAAAAACUGUUCGAAGAUGUCAUCCCCCAAGCAAUAAACGUCAUCCAAAGGAAGAAAAAGAAAGUCUCACUUUCUGUUUUGAGCCAUGCGGUGUGUUGUGACAAAUGGUCAAGAAAUUGUAAUGAUACUGAUCAAAAAGACGCAAUCCGACGGUGUUUUCGGCAAAAUCCAAAAAAUAACGGUGUGGCAUGACCAAUUUCCUCAAAAAAACAAAAAGCCCAAAGAGAAAGGCGCGUGAGAAAAGGCGAAGGCAGAAGGACACGACGCCUCGCAUUCAAUUCGGCCGCACUCCACGACGCUUCGUCUACCGCCCGAUCGAUCUCAUCUCAAUUCUGAGAAGGUGAAUAUCAGGUGAAAACCCUCAUUCGGUGCAAACCGUGAAAACUCCACCAAAAAAAGUUCAAAAAAUUCUCAAUAAAAUCACAUAUGUUAGAAAAGUAAUGCUAGAAAUAUGUGUUAAAUUUCAAGUCCAAACUCAAUUUCAUUUGGUAAC